This 849-nucleotide non-coding RNA is filed under the name Engaewa walpolea. Lineage: Eukaryota; Metazoa; Arthropoda; Malacostraca; Decapoda; Parastacidae. The record is from RNAcentral.
AGAGAGUUUGAUUCUUGCUAAGGAGUUUUGUUUUAUAAUUAUAAUGUAUAUGUAAGUUUUGAUGGAUAUUUAUUGAUAGAGGAAAUUAAAAAUUUUUAAGAAAAUAAAAAAGUGAGAAAAUGAUUUGUAUUUCGCAGUACAAGAUAUUGAUUAUAUGGGAGGAAGCCUGAUUUGGUAAAUUAUAAUAAGCCUAACUAAAUUUUGUGCCAGCAGUUGCGGUUAAACUUGGAGGUUAAGUAAAAAGUUUUAGUCGAAGUUAUUUUGUUUUAUAAAGUGGAUCUUAAUUUGUAGAAAUUGAAGGUGAAAUUAUUAUGUUUUAAAAUAAAUUAAGAAUUAAAGAUUAGAUUUAAGGAAGCUUAAAAGACUGGGGGAUAAACUAGGAUUAGAUACCCUAUUAUACUUAGGGAGAGUAAAUGAAAGAUUUAAUUAUUAGUAGAUGGAUUCUUGAAAUUUAGAGAAUUUGGCGGUAUUUUAGUCUAGUUAGAGGAACCUGUUUCGUAAUCGAUACAACACGUAGUAUUUUACUAAUUUUUGUUAUGUAUUAGUUUGUAUACCGCUAUUAUUAGGUAAUUUUUAUAGAAUGAUAAUUAUCGAAGUUAAAAAGUUUAAAUAUAUUAGGUCAAGGUGCAGCUUAUGAAUUAGUGAGAGUGGGUUACAAUAAGAUAUAUUUAUAACGGAGUUAUACUGGAAGAUAAGAGUGUUAAUGAAGGUGGAUUUAAUUGUAAUAAAAAAAGUUAGUAAGGUUAAAUGAUAUAAGUACUAAAUUAAGUACAUAUUGCCCGUCACUUUCAUUUAAGGUGGAAUAAGUCGUAACAUAGUAAGUAUACUGGAAGGUGUACUUAGAAAUAU